UACGGAAGGCAGCAGUGGGGAAUAUUGCACAAUGGGCGCAAGCCUGAUGCAGCCAUGCCGCGUGUAUGAAGAAGGCCUUCGGGCUGUAAAGUACUUUCAGUCGUGAGGAAGGUGUUAAGGUUAAUAACCUUAGCAAUUGACGUUAGCGACAGAAGAAGCACCGGCUAACUCCGUGCCAGCAGCCGCGGUAAUACGGAGGGUGCGAGCGUUAAUCGGAAUUACUGGGCGUAAAGGGCACGCAGGCGGUUAAUUAAGUUGGAUGUGAAAUCCCCGGGCUUAACCUGGGAAUGGCAUUCAAGACUGGUUAGCUAGAGUCUUGUAGAGGGGGUAGAAUUCCAUGUGUAGCGGUGAAAUGCGUAGAGAUGUGGAGGAAUACCGGUGGCGAAGGCGGCCCCUGGGACAAAGACUGACGCUCAUGUGCGAAAGCGUGGGGAGCAAACAGGAUUAGAUACC
RNAcentral lists this ribosomal RNA (453 nucleotides) under uncultured bacterium. RNAcentral describes it as "bacterial SSU rRNA". It matches the Rfam family "Bacterial small subunit ribosomal RNA", at positions 340 to 786 of the family's 1533-position model. The record is from RNAcentral.